CUAAGGCGAGGCCGAAAGGCGUAGUCGAUGGGAAACAGGUUAAUAUUCCUGUACUUGGUGUUACUGCGAAGGGGGGACGGAGAAGGCUAUGUUGGCCGGGCGACGGUUGUCCCGGUUUAAGCGUGUAGGCUGGUUUUCCAGGCAAAUCCGGAAAAUCAAGGCUGAGGCGUGAUGACGAGGCACUACGGUGCUGAAGCAACAAAUGCCCUGCUUCCAGGAAAAGCCUCUAAGCAUCAGGUAACAUCAAAUCGUACCCCAAACCGACACAGGUGGUCAGGUAGAGAAUACCAAGGCGCUUGAGAGAACUCGGGUGAAGGAACUAGGCAAAAUGGUGCCGUAACUUCGGGAGAAGGCACGCUGAUAUGUAGGUGAAGUCCCUUGCGGAUGGAGCUGAAAUCAGUCGAAGAUACCAGCUGGCUGCAACUGUUUAUUAAAAACACAGCACUGUGCAAACACGAAAGUGGACGUAUACGGUGUGACGCCUGCCCGGUGCCGGAAGGUUAAUUGAUGGGGUCAGCGCAAGCGAAGCUCUUGAUCGAAGCCCCGGUAAACGGCGGCCGUAACUAUAACGGUCCUAAGGUAGCGAAAUUCCUUGUCGGGUAAGUUCCGACCUGCACGAAUGGCGUAAUGAUGGCCAGGCUGUCUCCACCCGAGACUCAGUGAAAUUGAACUCGCUGUGAAGAUGCAGUGUACCCGCGGCAAGACGGAAAGACCCCGUGAACCUUUACUAUAGCUUGACACUGAACAUUGAGCCUUGAUGUGUAGGAUAGGUGGGAGGCUUUGAAGUGUGGACGCCAGUCUGCAUGGAGCCGGCCUUGAAAUACCACCCUUUAAUGUUUGAUGUUCUAACGUGGACCCGUGAUCCGGGUUGCGGACAGUGUCUGGUGGGUAGUUUGACUGGGGCGGUCUCCUCCUAAAGAGUAACGGAGGAGCACGAAGGUUGGCUAAUCCUGGUCGGACAUCAGGAGGUUAGUGCAAUGGCAUAAGCCAGCUUGACUGCGAGCGUGACGGCGCGAGCAGGUGCGAAAGCAGGUCAUAGUGAUCCGGUGGUUCUGAAUGGAAGGGCCAUCGCUCAACGGAUAAAAGGUACUCCGGGGAUAACAGGCUGAUACCGCCCAAGAGUUCAUAUCGACGGCGGUGUUUGGCACCUCGAUGUCGGCUCAUCACAUCCUGGGGCUGAAGUAGGUCCCAAGGGUAUGGCUGUUCGCCAUUUAAAGUGGUACGCGAGCUGGGUUUAGAACGUCGUGAGACAGUUCGGUCCCUAUCUGCCGUGGGCGCUGGAGAACUGAGGGGGGCUGCUCCUAGUACGAGAGGACCGGAGUGGACGCAUCACUGGUGUUCGGGUUGUCAUGCCAAUGGCACUGCCCGGUAGCUAAAUGCGGAAGAGAUAAGUGCUGAAAGCAUCUAAGCACGAAACUUGCCCCGAGAUGAGUUCUCCCUGACCCUUUAAGGGUCCUGAAGGAACGUUGAAGACGACGACGUUGAUAGGCCGGGUGUGUAAGCGCAGCGAUGCGUUGAGCUAACCGGUACUAAUGAACCGUGAGGCUUAACCUUACAACGCCGAAG
This 1566-nucleotide ribosomal RNA is filed under the name Shigella sonnei. RNAcentral's name for it is "partial 23S ribosomal RNA". It matches the Rfam family "Bacterial large subunit ribosomal RNA", at positions 1391 to 2925 of the family's 2925-position model. The record is from RNAcentral. Lineage: Bacteria; Pseudomonadati; Pseudomonadota; Gammaproteobacteria; Enterobacterales; Enterobacteriaceae.